GUGGUCGGGUCCUUCCGGGGUACAGCGCAGUUUUGUCCUCCGCGGAGUCCCUCGGGCUCAGAGCACAGCAGUGUGAUUGCGUCUCUCCUGCGCUCAAUCAGGGGCUUGCUUUGGAACCCCGGUACCUGCUAGUGUUCUGCAUACAGUGGGCAUCCAAAAAAUGGUCACUUGUUUACUUUUACUGAACAAAUUGUUUUUCUUAUGUCCAGUCUAGUGCUAGGCAACCAUGGAAUGAACCACGAAGAUAAGUAUCUCAUGGGCUUUUUCUUCUGGGAGCUGAGGCCGGCUGGGGUCGUUACAACUUAAAACUUAGGCGAUCCAGAAGUAAUACGAAACAUUUGUGAAAUAUUUUCUGUAUGAAACUUUCUAAGAAUUACCUCAACUUCAAUAGGUUGUGUAGGGGGAGAGCAUGCCAGAUAGAGGAAAUGGCAGAAUCCUAAAAGAUGGUGAGAAGCCUCCAGCCGUGCCUGGGGCUCAGGUUGUUUAUAACUGUGGUGGUUAAAGUAGUGAAGAGGCAGGUUGCAGUGGCCCCAAAAUGCCAGCCUAGGGAGUUCAUAUUUUCUUCAUCUUGCGGGAUGGAUUAAAAGGGCAGCAUUUGCAGUCAAGGAGAACACUGGGCCAGGGCAAGCUAGGGUUGCACAUUCAGACCCAGUUUUGUGCCUUUUGCCGUCCUCUAGCCUCCUCCUGGGCUCUCCGGCAGCAAGACCAGCUGCAAACAUGGAUCCUUACAAGUGACUCAGCUGGGAUCCCUGGCCCCUCUGAACAGAAGGCUCAAGGCCAGAGUGGAUUCGAAUGUCACCUCCCCUUGUGGGUUGUCAUCCAAGUCACCAUAGUGAAGGACCUUGUGGUUCAGUGCCAACCGGCAGUACCAGAACCGUUCUGGAACACAAGGGAAACCAAACAGUCUCACUGAGCUCUUGAUGACAAGGAAUGACUGAAGAAGAGGGAGCUGUAGAGACUUACGUAGUUCCCCAACCUGCAGGAUUUCACAGAGCAUUUUGCUCUUUUCACAGCCAUCACCACCACUGAACUGUGAUCUCUUGGUUGCUGGAUGGUGGCCGCCUCACCACGCAUCCUAGAACCUACUUCGCAUGAUGCUGCACACCGAGUAGGAUUUCCUUUUCUAAUGGCACAAUCAACUGCACUGUCUUCAAAGAGAGAUGUGGACUGCUUGAAGAUGAGACACUUGUGUCACAAGGACAUUGCACGUGGACACACAGCAGCGUGAUGGUUUCCAAGCCACAUGCAUCGUGCCAGGCAGACCCCACCGCUAAGGCUAGAAGGAACUCUAGUGAAGCACUGACUCCAAACUUUGGAAGAGCUUUGGUCCAGCAACCCCCUCCCACCCUACAGCAGACGGCUGGGGCCUGGACACUCUACAACAGGUGAGAGGUGAAGAUGAUUAACCUAUUCUAGAGAUGAAGAAACUGAGGCCAGAAGAGACUAGGUUACUUGCUGAUGGCAGUGACCUAGUAGGCACAAGAGCCUGGAUUUGAACUGAUAUUCCAAACUCACGCCCUGUGUGAUACUUCUUACAAAUCACCCACAGCGCAUCAUCAAUUCAGUGAGCAUUCAUUCAACAAGUACUAAUUGAGCCUCUACUUAAAUCAAAACAGGGGAUACAAUGAUUGGUCUGUUUCCAGGGGGCUCUAUGUUCAAAAUGGGCAACAGAUAAUAAAAAUCCAGUAUUUUAUACAAUUAUCAUAGGUACAAACAGAGACUGUUGGGCCCAUGUGGGAGAAAGCAUCUAAUUUUGCCUGGUACCAGGGUAGUAUGGGAAGACUGGGAAAAUCUUCAUUUUAACCUAAGGGGCAGAGAGAGUUACAGAGGAUGUUAGGCAGGAGCAUGACAUGAUCAGGUCUGAAUGAUGGGAGAAAUUCUGGCAGGAGUGUGGAAGAGGUGACGAAUGAAUGUAGAAGCCAACCAGCAGCUUGGAAUAUAAGCAAAGCAGAGUAGGAUUGGAAGACUUAAAAUAAGAGGAGAGAAGAAGACAUACAAGUGAAGGGAGGGAGGUGUAGGGUCUUUUACUCACACCUGGA
Long non-coding RNA from Rhinopithecus roxellana (golden snub-nosed monkey), 2039 nucleotides. RefSeq lists it as uncharacterized. Lineage: Eukaryota; Metazoa; Chordata; Mammalia; Primates; Cercopithecidae. The transcript is spliced from 6 exons. The record is from RefSeq and is a predicted model, not a curated record.